This 76-nucleotide transfer RNA is filed under the name Gallionellaceae bacterium. RNAcentral describes it as "tRNA-Lys". It matches the Rfam family "tRNA". From Rfam's summary of the family: Transfer RNA (tRNA) molecules are approximately 80 nucleotides in length. Lineage: Bacteria; Pseudomonadati; Pseudomonadota; Betaproteobacteria; Nitrosomonadales; Gallionellaceae. The record is from RNAcentral.
GGGACGAUAGCUCAGCCGGUAGAGCAGCGGACUUUUAAUCCGUUGGUCGCGAGUUCGAAUCUCGCUCGUCCUACCA